This is a non-coding RNA of Salmo salar (Atlantic salmon), 54 nucleotides long. The record is from Rfam. NCBI's taxonomy places the organism in Eukaryota, Metazoa, Chordata, Actinopteri, Salmoniformes, Salmonidae.
GCAUGAAACUACUGUAAGUCUCUCUGGAUAAGAGCGUCUGCUAAAUGACUAAAA